CCUCAUCGACGAGCUGCGGGCAGAUGAAGUGGAUGUGCGUGUCGAGCCCGCCUGCGGUGACGAUCCUCCCCUCCCCCGCGAUCACCUCCGUCCCGGCGCCGACGACCAUCCCCGAUGACACGCCGGCCAUAAGAUCGGGAUUGCCGGCCUUGCCGACGCCGACGAUGCGCCCGUCGCGGAUGCCGAUGUCGGCCUUCACGAUGCCCCAGUGGUCUACGACGACCGCGUUGGUGAUGACGACGUCGAGGACGCCCUCGGCCCGGGUCGCGCGCGCCGACUGCCCCAUGCCGUCGCGG
Molecule: non-coding RNA, 296 nt
Organism: Candidatus Rokubacteria bacterium 13_2_20CM_69_15_1
Lineage: Bacteria; Candidatus Rokuibacteriota
Source: Rfam